Molecule: ribosomal RNA, 811 nt
Filed under: Enterobacter sichuanensis
Lineage: Bacteria; Pseudomonadati; Pseudomonadota; Gammaproteobacteria; Enterobacterales; Enterobacteriaceae
Description: partial 23S ribosomal RNA
Rfam family: Bacterial large subunit ribosomal RNA
Source: RNAcentral
UGUGAACUCGAAGAGUAGGGCGGGACACGUGGUAUCCUGUCUGAAUAUGGGGGGACCAUCCUCCAAGGCUAAAUACUCCUGACUGACCGAUAGUGAACCAGUACCGUGAGGGAAAGGCGAAAAGAACCCCGGCGAGGGGAGUGAAAAAGAACCUGAAACCGUGUACGUACAAGCAGUGGGAGCACCUUCGGGUGUGACUGCGUACCUUUUGUAUAAUGGGUCAGCGACUUAUAUUCUGUAGCAAGGUUAACCGUAUAGGGGAGCCGAAGGGAAACCGAGUCUUAACUGGGCGUUAAGUUGCAGGGUAUAGACCCGAAACCCGGUGAUCUAGCCAUGGGCAGGUUGAAGGUUGGGUAACACUAACUGGAGGACCGAACCGACUAAUGUUGAAAAAUUAGCGGAUGACUUGUGGCUGGGGGUGAAAGGCCAAUCAAACCGGGAGAUAGCUGGUUCUCCCCGAAAGCUAUUUAGGUAGCGCCUCGUGAACUCAUCUUCGGGGGUAGAGCACUGUUUCGGCUAGGGGGCCAUCCCGGCUUACCAACCCGAUGCAAACUACGAAUACCGAAGAAUGUUAUCACGGGAGACACACGGCGGGUGCUAACGUCCGUCGUGAAGAGGGAAACAACCCAGACCGCCAGCUAAGGUCCCAAAGUCAUGGUUAAGUGGGAAACGAUGUGGGAAGGCACAGACAGCCAGGAUGUUGGCUUAGAAGCAGCCAUCAUUUAAAGAAAGCGUAAUAGCUCACUGGUCGAGUCGGCCUGCGCGGAAGAUGUAACGGGGCUAAACCAUGCACCGAAGCUGCGGCAGCGAC